Molecule: ribosomal RNA, 490 nt
Filed under: uncultured bacterium
Lineage: Bacteria
Description: partial 16S ribosomal RNA
Rfam family: Bacterial small subunit ribosomal RNA
Source: RNAcentral
AUUGAACGCUGGCGGCAUGCCUUACACAUGCAAGUCGAACGGCAGCAUGAUCUAGCUUGCUCGAUUGAUGGCGAGUGGCGAACGGGUGAGUAAUACAUCGGAACGUGCCCUGUAGUGGGGGAUAACUAGUCGAAAGAUUAGCUAAUACCGCAUACGACCUGAGGGUGAAAGUGGGGGACCGCAAGGCCUCAUGCUAUAGGAGCGGCCGAUGUCUGAUUAGCUAGUUGGUGAGGUAAAGGCUCACCAAGGCGACGAUCAGUAGCUGGUCUGAGAGGACGAUCAGCCACACUGGGACUGAGACACGGCCCAGACUCCUAAGGGAGGCAGCAGUGGGGAAUUUUAGACAAUGGGCGAAAGCCUGAUCCAGCAAUGCCGCGUGUGUGAAGAAGGCCUUCGGGUUGUAAAGCACUUUUGUCCGGAAAGAAAUGGCUCUGGUUAAUACCUGGGGUCGAUGACGGUACCGGAAGAAUAAGGACCGGCUAACUACGUG